CCAACCCAUCCCACUCCACUCCCAACCCCUUCCACACUUCACUUCUCAACCCUUCACUCCCAUCAUUCUUAUGGGGGGCUGAUGUACGGACCGUCUCUACUUCUUCAUUUUCACCAAUCUCCUCGUCGCCGUGGUAACCACCAACCUGGAGGAAAAGAUGGCCGACUAUGACGAAAAGAACUCUUAAGAGUGUUCGCUGGCUAGCGUUCUCCCACAGAUUAUACCGGAAGAUACGGGAGUCCUGAUGGACCAGGGCAGAGGUGGUGACCAAGACCAACAUGGCCCGGCACCAGAAGACCUGGAAGAACCUGACCAUGGACACCUUGGAGAAGCUGGCCCUUGCCAGUACAAGAGUAUAGUGGAGGGGGUGCACAGCCUGUCGUUCAACAUACAGCAAGAGGUGAUGAUGAGGAACCAUAUGACUGCAACCCUCCAGGACAAACUAUUGAAUAAUGAUAUUGCCACCGGCCAUACUGGAGACAUCCUGUCCACCCUCAUCACCCUGGAGAAGGUAAGAAGGCAGUGGACAUGGCACCAUUCCCCAUAUAGUGCACUAAUUUUGAUCAGAGCCUUAUGGGUGCUCAAUAGAUUCAAUGACUCUUCCUGGAGUUGUCUAUAACCUUAUAUUUACUGUUCUGUUACUAAUGUCAGUUGUGUGUCAAGCUCAUCAAAUCCAAUGUAUUUAUAAAGCCCUUUUUACAUCAGCAGAUGGCACAAAGUGCUUAUACAAUAACCCAC
Oncorhynchus kisutch (coho salmon) is the source of this 738-nucleotide long non-coding RNA. RefSeq lists it as uncharacterized. The transcript has 3 exons. The record is from RefSeq and is a predicted model, not a curated record. Lineage: Eukaryota; Metazoa; Chordata; Actinopteri; Salmoniformes; Salmonidae.